UAAGCAUAUCAAUAAGCGGAGGAAAAGAAACCAACAGGGAUUGCCCUAGUAACGGCGAGUGAAGCGGCAACAGCUCAAAUUUGAAAUCUGGCUCUCGGGCCCGAGUUGUAAUUUGUAGAGGAUGCUUUUGAUGCGGUGCCUUCCGAGUUCCCUGGAACGGGACGCCAUAGAGGGUGAGAGCCCCGUCUGGUUGGAUGCCAAAUCUCUGUAAAGCUCCUUCGACGAGUCGAGUAGUUUGGGAAUGCUGCUCUAAAUGGGAGGUAUAUGUCUUCUAAAGCUAAAUACCGGCCAGAGACCGAUAGCGCACAAGUAGAGUGAUCGAAAGAUGAAAAGCACUUUGAAAAGAGAGUUAAAAAGUACGUGAAAUUGUUGAAAGGGAAGCGUUUAUGACCAGACUUGGGCUUGGUUAAUCAUCUGGGGUUCUCCCCAGUGCACUUUUCCAGUCCAGGCCAGCAUCAGUUUUCCCCGGGGGAUAAAGGCUUCGGGAAUGUGGCUCUCUUCGGGGAGUGUUAUAGCCCGCUGUGUAAUACCCUGGGGGGGACUGAGGUUCGCGCAUCUGCAAGGAUGCUGGCGUAAUGGUCAUCAACGACCCGUCUUGAAACACGGACCAAGGAGUCGUCUUCGUAUGCGAGUGUUCGGGUGUCAAACCCCUACGCGUAAUGAAAGUGAACGCAGGUGAGAGCUUCGGCGCAUCAUCGACCGAUCCUGAUGUUCUCGGAUGGAUUUGAGUAAGAGCAUACGGGGCCGGACCCGAAAGAAGGUGAACUAUGCCUGUAUAGGGUGAAGCCAGAGGAAACUCUGGUGGAGGCUCGCAGCGGUUCUGACGUGCAAAUCGAUCGUCAAACAUGGGCAUGGGGGCGAAAGACUAAUCGAACCUUCUAGUAGCUGGUUUCCGCCGAAGUU
This 903-nucleotide ribosomal RNA is filed under the name Fusarium verticillioides. RNAcentral's name for it is "LSU rRNA". It matches the Rfam family "Eukaryotic large subunit ribosomal RNA", at positions 35 to 968 of the family's 3401-position model. Lineage: Eukaryota; Fungi; Ascomycota; Sordariomycetes; Hypocreales; Nectriaceae. The record is from RNAcentral.